ACACUCCUGCGGGAGGCAGCAGUAGGGAAUCUUCCACAAUGGGUGCAAACCUGAUGGAGCAAUGCCGCGUGAGUGAAGAAGGUCUUCGGAUCGUAAAGCUCUGUUGUUAGAGAAGAACACGUGCUAGGUAACUACUAGCGCCUUGACGGUAUCUAACCAGAAAGUCACGGCUAACUACGUGCCAGCAGCCGCGGUAAUACGUAGGUGACAAGCGUUGUCCGGAUUUAUUGGGCGUAAAGGGAGCGCAGGCGGUCUGUUUAGUCUAAUGUGAAAGCCCACGGCUUAACCGUGGAACGGCAUUGGAAACUGACAGACUUGAAUGUAGAAGAGGAAAAUGGAAUUCCAAGUGUAGCGGUGGAAUGCGUAGAUAUUUGGAGGAACACCAGUGGCGAAGGCGAUUUUCUGGUCUAACAUUGACGCUGAGGCUCGAAAGCGUGGGGAGCGAACAGGAUUAGAAACCCCGGUAGUCCCAUG
This 474-nucleotide ribosomal RNA is filed under the name uncultured organism. RNAcentral describes it as "partial 16S ribosomal RNA". It matches the Rfam family "Bacterial small subunit ribosomal RNA", at positions 333 to 799 of the family's 1533-position model. The record is from RNAcentral.